CAUUUUUUAGUAUGUUACAGAUUUUUUGUGGGAUCAGACGUGUUUCAUUUGGUGUUCUCUUGACAGUGAAAAAUAAAGCUAUGGAACAGUUAUCGAGAGCUGACUAUGCUCGGUUAAGUGCAACCGAAAGGAAUGCGUACUUGAGGAAAACACGACAGUGAUUCGAGUAGGGUUCCUGAUAGCUAGACAUCAAAAUCAACAAGGUAAUUCAGUGCGUGACCAACCAGAAAAUUUUCAAGACACAGAAGAAAUCGCUGAAGAGAAUUCAGCAGUAGAAGAAGAAGAAGUUAAGAGUUUGCGAGAGUUAGGAUGAUGACAAUGAAGUGAAACAGCUGAGCCUGAAGGAAGAGCUUAAGAACCAUGUGGGAGUUUUAUUGCCAAAGAUAAAACAGUGUGGAACAAAACUCCACUAACUCAGCAUCAGACCGCAGCUCAUAAUGUUGUACGCCAGCGGAGUAGGCCUCAUCGCAGUACGGAAACGUUGUCAAUUAGCGAGACUUUCAAAAAAAUAUUUACUUACGAAAUGGUUGAUAAAAUCGUCCGUCACACUAAUAAAAAAGCUGAAACAAUUUUCCAAGAGUACAAUCCGAACCAUACAAACUUACAGCAUCAAUGGAAACCCGUUACGAUACCCGAAAUUUAUUGGUUCUUCGGAAUCUUGAUUUGUGCUGGAGCAAAUAAUUCGAAUACAGAUCAUGACAUGUGGCAAUCCAAUUCUUGUCCGAACAGCUUUAUCGAUACCGUACUGGAUUUACUCAAUAUAUUCUAUCGAAACCAGCUAAGUAUGGUAUAAAUAUCUGGUGGAUUUGUGAUGCAGAAAAUGCAUAUCCUUUGCAAAGGAUUAUGUACCAUGGUAAAACAGAUAAUACUCGAGAAAAAAAUCAGGGUGAAAGAGUAGUGAAAGAAUUGGCGGCUCCGUACCGAGGUAGUGGUAGAAACAUCUGCAUGGAAUAUUACCAUUGUUGGCAUGCUAAAAAAUAAUGAAUCUUACAUCUCUAGUGUUAUGAUAGCGAAUAAGACACGGGAGCAGUAUUCCACAGUUUUUGGAUUUCAGGAAAAGGUUACCAUGUGUUCCUACGUUCAUAAAAAAAAAGAAAGCUGUCAUUCUGAUAUCUACAAUGCAUUCAGAUAUAUCAGUUGAUGAUGACGCUAAAUGAAAACCAGAAAUAAUAAAUUUUUUUGAUAAAUAUUAAGCUAAGUGAAGAACUUGCAUUACCGAUGAUUGAACAUCGCACGGCGAGUCCACGAGUAAUGACCUACUUCUCAACAAAAAUGCCAUUGAAAGUGUAUUAAACCAUAUCCUGACAGAAACAGUCGUGAUAAAUCCUGGUGCAGAGACUCCAAAAGAUAAAACCGGAAGGAAAAAAGUAACAGGAUCUUGUCAUGUCUGCAAUGCUUUGCCAAUAAGAAGACGGCGAAAGACACGUAAGGCCUGUGCCAAUUGUCACCAACCUGUGUGUGACGAGCACUCAUUUAAAGGGUGUACAAUAUAUUCAAUGUCAUUAAUUAUAAAAAAAAGGGUGAUAUUUCUUUAUUUUUUUUAAUAAAAUUUAGUUGCAUUCAUUAAUAGAAAUUAUAUACAAUUUUUUUCUUAUGCUUUCCACUGUGUACCCGGUUGCUAAUAGGGUGAUGGCUAGAGUUUAAGCUUAUUUAAAAAAAAAAUAAAAAAUAAAUCAA
Long non-coding RNA from Bactrocera oleae (olive fruit fly), 1677 nucleotides. RefSeq lists it as uncharacterized. The record is from RefSeq and is a predicted model, not a curated record. Lineage: Eukaryota; Metazoa; Arthropoda; Insecta; Diptera; Tephritidae.